GCUUCCGUAGCUCAGUGGUCAGAGCGUCCGCCUGUCGAGCGGAGGGGCGCCGGUUCGAGUCCGGUCGGGAGCG
This 73-nucleotide transfer RNA is filed under the name Streptomyces atratus. Its description in RNAcentral is "tRNA_Asp_GTC". It matches the Rfam family "tRNA". Rfam says of the family: Transfer RNA (tRNA) molecules are approximately 80 nucleotides in length. Their secondary structure includes four short double-helical elements and three loops (D, anti-codon, and T loops). Further hydrogen bonds mediate the characteristic L-shaped molecular structure. tRNAs have two regions of fundamental functional importance: the anti-codon, which is responsible for specific mRNA codon recognition, and the 3' end, to which the tRNAs corresponding amino acid is attached (by aminoacyl-tRNA synthetases). tRNAs cope with the degeneracy of the genetic code in two manners: having more than one tRNA (with a specific anti-codon) for a particular amino acid; and 'wobble' base-pairing, i.e. permitting non-standard base-pairing at the 3rd anti-codon position. The record is from RNAcentral. RNAcentral also lists the same sequence under 1 other name. Lineage: Bacteria; Bacillati; Actinomycetota; Actinomycetes; Kitasatosporales; Streptomycetaceae.